UAAAAAGCGUUGAUAGAAAAGAGUAGUCUUUUUACGUCUUAAAGGGAGUGUCUGUCACUGACUGGAAGCAGACUAAGAAAGAAAAAGAUGAAGUUCACUUCUGGAGCUUGUCGAAAGACCGGCAUAGCCGUUAAAGUGUGAAGAGCGUCAAUUCAAUUGGCGAAUUAGGAUGGUAUCGCGAGACCUCGUUCCUUUG
Molecule: non-coding RNA, 196 nt
Filed under: Enterococcus avium
Lineage: Bacteria; Bacillati; Bacillota; Bacilli; Lactobacillales; Enterococcaceae
Description: T-box sequence
Rfam family: T-box leader
About the family: Uncharged tRNA acts as the effector for transcription antitermination of genes in the T-box leader family. T-boxes are found upstream of many aminoacyl-tRNA synthetase genes and some amino acid biosynthetic genes usually in Gram-positive bacteria.
Source: RNAcentral